Molecule: ribosomal RNA, 497 nt
Filed under: uncultured bacterium
Lineage: Bacteria
Description: partial 16S ribosomal RNA
Rfam family: Bacterial small subunit ribosomal RNA
Source: RNAcentral
GAUGAACGCUGGCGGCGUGCCUAAUACAUGCGAGUCGAGCGAACAGACGAGGAUCUUGCUCCUCUGACGUUAGCGGCGGACGGGUGAUGAACACGUGGAUAACCUACCUAUAAGACUGGGAUAACUUCGGGAAACCGGAUCUAAUACCGGAUAAUAUAUUGAACCGCAUGGUUCAAUAGUGAAAGACGGUUUUGCUGUCACUUAUAGAUGGAUCCGCGCCGCAUUAGCUAGUUGGUAAGGUAACGGCUUACCAAGGCGACGAUGCGUAGCCGACCUGAGAGGGUGAUCAGCCACACUGGAACUGAGACACGGUCCAGACUCCUACGGGAGGCAGCAGUAGGGAAUCUUCCGCAAUGGGCGAAAGCCUGACGGAGCAACGCCGCGUGAGUGAUGAAGGUCUUCGGAUCGUAAAACUCUGUUAUUAGGGAAGAACAAAUGUGUAAGUAACUAUGCACGUCUUGACGGUACCUAAUCAGAAAGCCACGGCUAACUACGUG